ACAGAAGAAGCACCGGCUAACUCCGUGCCAGCAGCCGCGGUAAUACGGAGGGUGCGAGCGUUAAUCGGAAUUACUGGGCGUAAAGCGCAUGCAGGUGGUUUGUUAAGUCAGAUGUGAAAGCCCGGGGCUCAACCUCGGAACUGCAUUUGAAACUGGCAGACUAGAGUACUGUAGAGGGGGGUAGAAUUUCAGGUGUAGCGGUGAAAUGCGUAGAGAUCUGAAGGAAUACCGGUGGCGAAGGCGGCCCCCUGGACAGAUACUGACACUCAGAUGCGAAAGCGUGGGGAGCAAACAGGAUUAGAUACCCUGGUAGUCCACGCUGUAAACGAUGUCUACUUGGAGGUUGUGGCCUUGAGCCGUGGCUUUCGGAGCUAACGCGUUAAGUAGACCGCCUGGGGAGUACGGUCGCAAGAUUAAAACUCAAAUGAAUUGACGGGGGCCCGCACAAGCGGUGGAGCAUGUGGUUUAAUUCGAUGCAACGCGAAGAACCUUACCUACUCUUGACAUCCAGAGAAUCUAGCGGAGACGCUGGAGUGCCUUCGGGAACUCUGAGACAGGUGCUGCAUGGCUGUCGUCAGCUCGUGUUGUGAAAUGUUGGGUUAAGUCCCGCAACGAGCGCAACCCUUAUCCUUGUUUGCCAGCGAGUAAUGUCGGGAACUCCAGGGAGACUGCCGGUGAUAAACCGGAGGAAGGUGGGGACGACGUCAAGUCAUCAUGGCCCUUACGAGUAGGGCUACACACGUGCUACAAUGGCGCAUACAGAGGGCGGCCAACUUGCGAAAGUGAGCGAAUCCCAAAAAGUGCGUCGUAGUCCGGAUUGGAGUCUGCAACUCGACUCCAUGAAGUCGGAAUCGCUAGUAAUCGUGGAUCAGAAUGCCACGGUGAAUACGUUCCCGGGCCUUGUACACACCGCCCGUCACACCAUGGGAGUGGGCUGCAAAAGAAGUGGGUAGUUUAACCUUCGGGAGGACGCUCACCACUUUGUGGUUCAUGACUGGGGUGAAGUCGUAACAAGGUAGCGCUAGGGGAACCUGGCGCUG
This 1040-nucleotide ribosomal RNA is filed under the name Vibrio vulnificus NBRC 15645 = ATCC 27562. RNAcentral describes it as "bacterial SSU rRNA". It matches the Rfam family "Bacterial small subunit ribosomal RNA", at positions 481 to 1520 of the family's 1533-position model. The record is from RNAcentral. Lineage: Bacteria; Pseudomonadati; Pseudomonadota; Gammaproteobacteria; Vibrionales; Vibrionaceae.